CCUGGCUCAGAAUUAACGCUGGCGGAGUGCAUAACACAUGCAAGUCGGACGAGAUUAUGGGAGCCCGUAAGGGUUUCUAUAGUUUAGUGGCAAACGGGUGAGUAAUGCGUAGGUGACCUGCCUUGAGAUGAGACAUAGCUCUACGAAAGUGGAGGUAAUUUCUCAUAAGACCACAGUUAUAAAUGACUGCGGUUAAAGUCCUGCGUAAGCAGAUACGUCUUAAGAGGGGCCUGCGUCCUAUCAGCUUGUUGGUGAGGUAACGGCCCACCAAGGCUAUGACGGGUAGCCGSCCUGAAAGGGUGAUCGGCCACACUGGAACUGAGACACGGUCCMSMCUCCUACGGGAGGCAGCAGUGAGGAAUUUUGUGCAAUGGGGGAAACCCUGACACAGCAACUCCGCGUGAAGGACGAAGGUUUUCGGAUUGUAAACUUCUUUUAGAGGGGAAGAUG
RNAcentral lists this ribosomal RNA (450 nucleotides) under uncultured bacterium. RNAcentral describes it as "bacterial SSU rRNA". It matches the Rfam family "Bacterial small subunit ribosomal RNA", at positions 18 to 450 of the family's 1533-position model. The record is from RNAcentral.